RNAcentral lists this ribosomal RNA (465 nucleotides) under Vreelandella stevensii. Its description in RNAcentral is "partial 16S ribosomal RNA". It matches the Rfam family "Bacterial small subunit ribosomal RNA", at positions 338 to 795 of the family's 1533-position model. Lineage: Bacteria; Pseudomonadati; Pseudomonadota; Gammaproteobacteria; Oceanospirillales; Halomonadaceae. The record is from RNAcentral.
CCUACGGGGGGCUGCAGUGGGGAAUAUUGGACAAUGGGGGCAACCCUGAUCCAGCCAUGCCGCGUGUGUGAAGAAGGCCCUCGGGUUGUAAAGCACUUUCAGUGAGGAAGAACGCCUGGUGGUUAAUACCCAUCAGGAAAGACAUCACUCACAGAAGAAGCACCGGCUAACUCCGUGCCAGCAGCCGCGGUAAUACGGAGGGUGCGAGCGUUAAUCGGAAUUACUGGGCGUAAAGCGCGCGUAGGUGGCUUGAUAAGCCGGUUGUGAAAGCCCCGGGCUCAACCUGGGAACGGCAUCCGGAACUGUCAAGCUAGAGUGCAGGCGAGGAAGGUAGAAUUCCCGGUGUAGCGGUGAAAUGCGUAGAGAUCGGGAGGAAUACCAGUGGCGAAGGCGGCCUUCUGGACUGACACUGACACUGAGGUGCGAAAGCGUGGGUAGCAAACAGGAUUAGAUACCCGUGUAGUC